Molecule: ribosomal RNA, 207 nt
Filed under: uncultured bacterium
Lineage: Bacteria
Description: partial 16S ribosomal RNA
Rfam family: Bacterial small subunit ribosomal RNA
Source: RNAcentral
CUCGUAGGCGGUUUGUCGCGUCGGGAGUGAAAACCUCGGGCUUAACUCGGGGCUUGCUUUCGAUACGGGCAGACUAGAGGUAUGCAGGGGAGAACGGAAUUCCUGGUGUAGCGGUGAAAUGCGCAGAUAUCAGGAGGAACACCGGUGGCGAAGGCGGUUCUCUGGGCAUGAUCUGACGCUGAGGAGCGAAAGUGUGGGGAGCGAACA